UUUUUUUUUUUCCAUCAUAGCUGAUUUACAGUGUUCGGUCAAUUUUUGACUGUACAGCAAGGUAACCCAGUCACACAUUCAUAUAUAUAUUCUUUUUCUCACAUUAUCAUGCUCCAGCAUAAGUGAUUAGAUAUAGUUCCCAUGCUAUACAGCAGGAUCUCAUUGCUUAUCCAUUGCCCUGGCAAUAUUCCACACUGAUAAUGAAACCCAUGGCGCCCCAGCUGGUCCCAUCCCUCCAACCUAACAGCUCUCAAGAGCUUCCUGGUCCUCACUGGUACACAUGCUGGGAAAAGUAUGAACUCCUGCUCAAAAGAUGGUGUCCCUAGGAAAUACUGCACCGAUUUUUCUGGCUUCAGGGAGAACAGAGACUGAGUAUUUGCUUAAGGACUCACAAUUUAAACACAUGUUUCUAUUCUGCUUCCUGUUCUUCCACUAUUCUGUUUCCAGGGUGUCAUUCAGGAUGUCAGCCAGUAGGGUUCCUGCACCUUGGAGCAUCUUUGUGAUCCACCUUCCAACCUUGACUUCUAGACCUCUCCCCCAGGCUUGCUCCUUCUUACCUUUCAAAUCUCAAACUCAAUAUUGCCUCCUCCAGGAUCAUUUCCCCCAAGCCGAUAAGGUGUUCUCCCAUCUAAUCACUCCCCACUCAGCACUGUGUUACAGUUACCUGUUUGCUGUACCCACUCUGUGUAUAUCAGAUACCUCCAGCUCAUAGCACAGUUCAUGGCACACAACAGAAAUUCAAAAAGUAUUCAUUGAAUGGUUGACUGAAUGAAAGAAGGUUUCAGACUCCCUAGACAGCAUGUACUGUCACAUAUCAGGACCACAAAGCAGUGGAAGUCACCAAUCUCUUCAGAUCCCUGUUACCAUCAGCAUCUGCUGCUUGACUGGUAACGCCCACAUGGGACGUCCUUCAGAGGUCUGCUUUGGGAAUGGCAGCCCCUACCCUGGAUGGAAAGUAAAGUGCCUGGGAAUUUCCUCCCUUCAUCCAGUGAAGCCAGUGGCUGGCUACUUGUGUUGAAGUACAAAACCCAACUUUCUUUCCUUCCAGGUGGAAUAAGGUCUGAGGGGUAGUUUUUGCUCUAGCACUCCCUGCAGGGUCACAGCGAGGCUGGGGCUGGACUGGAGAUCUCACCCUUACAUUGCCUUAUUCCCUUUUCUGCCCCACUUACCCUACUCCAUCAUCAGUGUUUCGUGGGAGAACCUGAUUCUUGGCUCAGGGCCUUCUUCUGGGAGAAUCCAUUCUAAGAAGAAUUGGCUGAUAAGCAUUUAUUGAGUACCUACUGUAGAUAGAACAUCAUUAUCUGGUAACACCAGAAAGUAAGUUGACUUGCGCUUGACUUCCUUUGGCCUAUAUUCUUAGGGACAGUGCAGUUCUAAAAAUAUUGGACUGUUAAUGAUCCAUUUAAACUAGCCCUUACUUCUUUUGGAAUUUUUAGAAUCACAACUUAACCACAACAGUGUGUAGCCAAAAAUUUUUUUUAAAUGACUCCCCAAAAAAAUCAAUAGCCUUUUCUCUGAAGCCUUAGAGAAGGUGCCAAGUCUG
Molecule: long non-coding RNA, 1543 nt
Filed under: Sus scrofa (pig)
Lineage: Eukaryota; Metazoa; Chordata; Mammalia; Artiodactyla; Suidae
Description: lncRNA (ENSSSCG00015021982.1)
Source: RNAcentral